AUUGAACGCUGGCGGCAUGCCUAACACAUGCAAGUCGAGCGGAUGAAGGGAGCUUGCUCCUGGAUUCAGCUGCGGACGGGUGAGUAAUGCCUAGGAAUCUGCCUUGUAGUGGGGGAUAACGUCCGUAAACGGGCGCUAAUACCGCAUACGUCCUUAGGGAGAAAGUGGUGGAUCUUCGGACCUCACGCUAUCAGAUGAGCCUAGGUCGGAUUAGCUAGUUGGUGGGUUAAAGGCCUACCAAGGCGACGAUCCGUAACUGGUCUGAGAGGAUGAUCAGUCACACUGGAACUGAGACACGGUCCAGACUCCUACGGGAGGCAGCAGUGGGGAAUAUUGGACAAUGGGCGAAAGCCUGAUCCAGCCAUGCCGCGUGUGUGAAGAAGGUCUUCGGAUUGUAAAGCACUUUAAGUUGGGAGGAAGGGCAGUAAGUUAAUACCUUGCUGUUUUGACGUUACCAACAGAAUAAGCACCGGCUAACUUCGUG
This 484-nucleotide ribosomal RNA is filed under the name uncultured bacterium. RNAcentral's name for it is "partial 16S ribosomal RNA". It matches the Rfam family "Bacterial small subunit ribosomal RNA", at positions 30 to 507 of the family's 1533-position model. The record is from RNAcentral.